Molecule: ribosomal RNA, 569 nt
Filed under: uncultured Alphaproteobacteria bacterium
Lineage: Bacteria; Pseudomonadati; Pseudomonadota; Alphaproteobacteria
Description: bacterial SSU rRNA
Rfam family: Bacterial small subunit ribosomal RNA
Source: RNAcentral
AGAGUCACUCCUACGGGAGGCAGCAGUGGGGAAUAUUGGACAAUGGGGGCAAGCCUGAUCCAGCAAUGCCGCGUGAGUGAUGAAGGCCUUAGGGUUGUAAAGCUCUUUCGACGGGAACGAUAAUGACGGUACCCGGAGAAGAAGCUGCGGCUAACUACGUGCCAGCAGCCGCGGUAAUACAGAGGGGGCAAGCGUUAAUCGGAAUUACUGGGCGUAAAGGGCGCGUAGGCGGUCUGAUAAGUUAGAUGUGAAAUUCCCGGGCUUAACCUGGGGGCUGCAUUUAAGACUGUCAGGCUUGAAUCCGGGAGAGGAUAGCGGAAUUCCCAGUGUAGAGGUGAAAUUCGUAGAUAUUGGGAAGAACACCAGUGGCGAAGGCGGCUAUCUGGACUGGCAUUGACGCUGAGGCGCGAAAGCGUGGGGAGCAAACAGGAUUAGAUACCCUGGUAGUCCACGCCGUAAACGAUGUGUGCUUGACGUCGGAGGGCAUAGCCCAUCGGUGUCGGAGCUAACGCGGUAAGCACACCGCCUGGGGAGUACGGCCGCAAGGUUAAAACUCAAAGGAAUUGACG